This is a long non-coding RNA of Xenia sp. Carnegie-2017, 482 nucleotides long. RefSeq lists it as uncharacterized. The transcript has 2 exons. The record is from RefSeq and is a predicted model, not a curated record. Lineage: Eukaryota; Metazoa; Cnidaria; Anthozoa; Malacalcyonacea; Xeniidae.
UGCAAACACUUCAUAGAAUUGAUUUGCAGUUUAUAGAUUUAAUUUGUAUCUAACGGUAUACGUUAUAAUCUUGCUCGUUUUUGGUGUUUCGUUGAGGCAGAUCUAGUCCUCUUCUUCAACAUGCGUCAACAUGAAAAAGUACAACAUUCACCUUGUCUCAAUUUCAAAAGAAAAUACAUUUCAACGUUCGGUUCCAAAAUUCAGGAGAAUUCAACAACAAAAUAUACGUAAAGAUUGGUCAUGGUGCAGCUGAAGCUUUUAUCAACUAUCAAUUUUUAUUCAAUCUAAAUUUCAUAUGAUUAACGAUUUAGAUUACUACUUAUUAUAACAAACUUAUUUCUAUUGAAUCUCAAUUUUACGACUGGUUACCAAAUUCAACUAUUUAUAAAUGUUUAUUCGUUCAACUUUACCUCGAGACUGAAGUGUAACUAAGCACUUAGCUAUAUUCUGAUCUACAUAAUUAUUGAACUUAUAAUCCUCCA